CAGUGACACCUGAAUUAGGCUCAAAGAGGAGGUAUUGCAGUGACACAGAGUCAGGGCUUUCUUUGUAGGCGAAGAACGGGUACACGUUUAUCAGGAAGGGGGAGUUGAUCUGAGAAUGGAAGCUGAGAAGGGGCUGAAUGUACUCUGCAAGAUCUUCUCGAAAUGAACCUGCGGAAGGAGGGUACGAACUGCCUAGAAUCUCAAACGAGUGUGCAGUCGAGAUAUUCACUUGCUUGUCCAAUCCAAGGGUGACAAGAGCUCCAUGUAGCGAUUGCAUUGCAGGGAGGAGAUUGGACAUGAGCACCUUAUCGCUG
This 314-nucleotide unclassified non-coding RNA is filed under the name Hevea brasiliensis (rubber tree). Lineage: Eukaryota; Viridiplantae; Streptophyta; Magnoliopsida; Malpighiales; Euphorbiaceae. The record is from RNAcentral.